Molecule: long non-coding RNA, 230 nt
Organism: Ornithodoros turicata
Lineage: Eukaryota; Metazoa; Arthropoda; Arachnida; Ixodida; Argasidae
Exons: 2
Source: RefSeq, a predicted model, not a curated record
UCAAACGGAGUCGGCUUACCCCGCCCACCUCCACCAUCCCCCGUCGCCCAGCCCAGCCCUUUCAGGGAAGGCCUUUCCCGGGGGGAUACCAGGGAAGGGCCACACGAAACCCCAGAGGCAGGGGCAGAGUCUAGGAAUUUUCAUCAGGCGCCGGUGCCCCGACGCCCCAUCGUUAAAUGCAUCAACAUCCCCCUUGGUUUGAAAUAAAUUCUUGAGUGUGCACACCCUUA